Molecule: ribosomal RNA, 747 nt
Filed under: uncultured crenarchaeote
Lineage: Archaea; Thermoproteati; Thermoproteota
Description: bacterial SSU rRNA
Rfam family: Archaeal small subunit ribosomal RNA
Source: RNAcentral
ACGCUCAGUAACACGUAGCUAACCUACCCUCAGGACGUGGAUAACCCCGGGAAACUGGGGCUAAUCCGCGAUAGGUAUGAAGGCCUGGAAUGGUUUCAUGCCCAAUGGCACAGCAAUCAUGUUUGUUGUGUGCCUGAGGAUGGGGCUGCGGCUGAUCAGGCAGUUGGCGAGGUAACGGCUCACCAAACCUUUGACCAGUACGGGCCAUGAAAGUGGUAGCCCGGAGAUGGGCACUGAGACAGGGGCCCAGGCCCUACGGGGCGCAGCAGGCGCGAAAACUCCACACUGUACGAAAGUACGAUGGGGUUAUCUCGAGUGCAGUCCGAUAAGGGCUGCUUUUCCAUAGAGUAAUAUCCUGUGGGAAUAAGAGGGGGGCAAGACUGGUGUCAGCCGCCGCGGUAACACCAGCCCCUCGAGUGGUGGGGACUUUUAUUUGGCCUAAAGCGUCCGUAGCUGGCUGUAUCCGUCCCCCGUUAAAUCCAGCGUCCUAAACGUUGGACCGCGGGUGAUACCAUACAGCUAGAGGGUGGGAUAGGUGAGCGGUAUUUCUGGGGUAGGGGCGAAAUCCUUUGAUCCCAGGAGGACCACCAGUGGCGAAGGCUGCUUACUAGAACACGCCUGACGGUCAGGGACGAAAGCUGGGGCAGCGAACCGGAUUAGAUAUCCCGGGUAGUCCCAGCUGUAAACGAUGCUAGCUAGGUGUUGGGUCGGCCACGCGCCGCCCCAGUGCCGCAGGGAAGCCGUUAA